Prosopis cineraria is the source of this 4127-nucleotide long non-coding RNA. RefSeq lists it as uncharacterized. The record is from RefSeq and is a predicted model, not a curated record. The transcript is spliced from 8 exons. NCBI's taxonomy places the organism in Eukaryota, Viridiplantae, Streptophyta, Magnoliopsida, Fabales, Fabaceae.
UCAACUGUUGCCCUUCCAUUUAGCUUCCCAUUAUUCUUCUUUCAUUUGUUCAUUCUCUUUUGCAUUUAAAAAAAAUUAUUCAUUCUCUUAUAUUCAUCGAAACCAGCGCCUCUUAUUUUCUAUUUUGAAUUUUGAAUUAUUUAUCUUACUUUUCAUUCAUUUGUUUUCUAUUUGGUUUCUUCGUUUCUGCAGCAUGCAGGUGGCAAUUUUCUCAGGGGCCUCGAUGAUCAGGUACCACUCAUUCAUUCCCUUCGGGCUUCAAAUCAUAUCAGUUCCUUUUCGGAUUCUUCCACUGUUGCACCAUUAAUCAGGUUUUAGAUAACCCAUCGUUCCGUUUGCUCUUCCCCGAGUACAGUUCUCAUUCCGACGUUCCAUAUCUCGCAAAAGUGCGUAUUUUAUCAGAGAGGGAAAAACGGAUGGCUCGACUGGAAAAAAGGAUGGCUUUGUACAUUUUAGCGUCGCUCGACUCCCUCCAUUCCUCGACUCAAUCCAGAAAAGGUUCGAAAUAUUAGCGGAAUCUAGCUUUUGAAGUAGCCCCAUUAGUCGUCUUCUUCAAUUGGAAAUGCAGAGCCACGAGUCAAGAAAAACUCGAGAUCUGCGAUGCUUCAUCUCUACCAACGGUGGGGUUCCAGUCCUACCACCGCUUGGUGGCAGCGCAAGGCCUCUGCAAUGGGGAGUCUCCAGGGGAGGUGACAGGUGCAAGCCUAAAAAGUGCCAUCAAUAAUGCAAAGAGUUGUCCUGUUGUGGGAAUGGGUAAUUCAAGAGUCUGUCUAUAAUUGAGUUGUCAGAUUUCGGCUUUUUCGUAAUUAUGGCUUGAGGUCAUUCUUUCGUAGCGAACAAAGCAUUGAUGGCGUUAGCAAAAUCAUAGAGGGCUGUAAUCCAGCAGCUUGGUUGGAAAUCACAACUUCAGCACAAUAGCAUCUUCUGAAAUCUGAAUGAAGUAGCAAACCACUGUUUCGAGAAUGCAUCAGAUAAAGGAAUAUUACAGAUAAAAUUAAUCAAGUCUCUUUACCAUAUUUCUUUAUCAUAUUCUUUUAUCAUAUCAAGCCUGUUUUUGUAAUGUUAGAGUUGCGGCCCUAAAUUUUUUUCAACUUGGUUGAAACAUGACAGCCUUUUCAUUGUAAGUUUCUAUUUGAGUUCUAGCAUUAUAGAAUCUAACUGAUGAGUUUUUAAUUUGUUUUUCAUUAGGCAGCACAACCUGUAAGUGGCAACAAACGUGUUUCUUUUUCAGUACAAAUCUCGGAUGGAUGAUGGGAAAACAGUGUAAUGGUCCAGAAAAAAAUAAAAAUAAAAAUAAAUAAUUAAUGAAAUUAAUUAAUAUAUAACUUUGUUUUAAUAGUAAUUAUAUUAAUUUUGAGAAUUUGUUUAGCAAGAAGAGUUGGUUUAGUGGCUAGUAUGUAAUCAGUUAUUCAAUAGGUCCCAAGUUUGAACCAUUUUUGGAGCAUGAAUGAGAAGUUUCUUUCUUUUGUGUUGGCCUAUAGAAAGUUACCAUUUUUGCCCUUAGAACAAUAACAAAUGCAAUAAAGUAGGUUCAAGACAGAAUAUAUGUAUACUCCUCCAACAAAGCUGAGUCGGUUUACAGAGAAAAGAGAGAGAGAGAGCAAUAAAAAUCUGCUUGGCUCACUGUUCUACCAGGAACCUUCGAGAGAGUGUGUCUUCUGAUCUCUAGCCUCUUCUGUAAGUGCUUCCUUCCGCCCUUUUCUCCAUCAUCACAUCGUCGCUGGCGUAGAUCUCAAGCCCACCACAAGUUCACUGCUGUUCCUCUUCCUUGGUUUCUUCGGUGCGGAUUCACUUAAGCCUUCCCCGUUGUCUUCCCUAUCACGUUUGCACCGUUGGUGUGUGAGGAGUUGAGUCACUGGAGCUGGAAGAUUCAGCUCGCAAGUCCUUUCCUCCCUCGUUCAUCCGUGAGGAUCAUCACUUUCUUCACUGCUUCGUGCUCCCUGUUUCUGUUGUUUUUUUUUUCUGCUGCACCGUCUGUGUCGUUCUGGGUUGAAAAAACACAAAGCAUCAGAAUUGGGGUGGGGCUGUUGCUGUGAGCUCGUAUUGGUGCUGUGGAGUCAGGCUUCUUUUCUUUGCUGUGCAUGGUGACAGUGCUGUUUGUCCUCUCCCCUGUUCAGCCAUAAACCCCAACAUCUCUGUUUUUUUUUUCCUCUUUCGGUCUGUGGCGUUGAUAAGGUGAGGGAUCUUCAUGUUUCAUUUUUUCUUAGUCUGCACGAAUGUGAUUAGUUGUUGAAGUUGCAAAAUUUAUGCCUCUGUUAGUGCUGUUGCCGUGCUGUUGUAGGGGGAGAAUAUUCAAAUUUGAGAUAGAAACCUAUUUUAAAGCUUGGUAAUAAUAUAUACAUAUACGCACACACAUGUACGUAUAUGAGUUAUAAUUUUGAAGCUAGGUAGAUCUUAUUUGGAUUGACUUAUGUUAAGGAAAUUAUUAAGGAAAGGUUGGAAGAUGAUAGCUUUGAUAUAUUACUUGAAUAUUGGCAUCAACGGGAUGCUUAUUGAAAUGUUUGAAAUAAUUUUAAAGCAUGAAUUUUGGUUUUAAAUUUUAAAUAAUAAUGGUUGAUGGAAAUUAUAUUAGGAGUGGAAGGAAGUCUUUGUAAAUUAAAGGAUGAUUUAUUAAAUUUUGUUUACUAAUAUCUUUAUAGGACGUGUGGAAGAAGAAGAUCCCGAUAGAAAUUGAAGAAAGAAUAUUUUGGAAAUUUGAAACUUCAACUAGUAAGUAAAUAGCAUUUUCUUUAAUUUAUUUUAUUGGAAUACACUUUUAUUGUAACAAUUUACUCUUAUGAAUUUCAUUAGUUUUGGAAAUUAUGGAGCACUAAUGAUGGAUAAUUGGAUGAUGAUAUGUGCAUUAUUUUCUCAAGAAAUAUAUUUUGAAGAGUUAUGAAAUUAUUUUGUUUAUUAAACUCAGGAGAUGUCUGGCUAUUCAAUUAACGCAAGCUUGCAUAGUUUUUAUGACAUUAUUUUCGACAGGUAUUAUACUGGAAGUUGAAAUGAUUCAUAUGAGUAGAUAUUAAAAAUAUAAAUUGUAUUUCAGAAGUGAUUAUUUUCUCCCAUAUUUGAAACAUGAUUGUAGAGGACUCUAACAGAUCACUGCUGCUAAUGGCAGUUCCAUUAGCCCAUAGCGUGCUGUGGUUGAAAACUAGCUAAUUUGUCUCGUGGGCUUUAUUCUCACAUUUGAUAUUCGUGGGCGGUGUACCCGCAUUUGAUUCUGUGGCCUGAGCCGCUUUUGGUUAGCUUUACUCUCGUGGACUCUGUCUCCAUGUUUGUUUCUUAACUUUGGCUACGUUUGGUUACUUACUCUCAUGGACUGUGUGUCCACAUUUGUUUUCGUGCCAUAAGCCGCUUUUAGUUAUUUACCUUCGUGGAUUAUGUGUCCACCUUGUUACUUGUUCUGUUGAAUUAUCAAAAAUUUUAAAUGUUGACUAAUAUGUGUUUUCGAAAUUUACAUGAUUUUAGUUAGUAAUUAUAUUACUCUGAUUUAUGUGUGAAUAAAUUGUUUUCUUUAAGCAUGAUAAAAUAAUUUGUUUUCAAUUUACUCUCAUUGUACGUUUAUGGUUAUGAUUUACAGACUUGUAAGUUUAUUAUGUUGAAUCAUUAUCUUUUUAAUUAGUUUACACUAUUAUUUGAGUUUGUUAAUUUAAAUUUUUAAAUUCUACUUUGGGAAUGCUAUUCACUGGAAAACUUAUUUUGGCCUCAGAUUUGUUAGCUGACGCUAAUCCCACCAUUGACCUCUAAAAGCAAUGAAUUUAUGCAAUAGAGGUUGGUGGCACAGCUACAUUGAUUUGCUGAAAAUUGAAGCUUCAAUUUUGAUUUCGUGGGUUAGAGUUUUGUUUGAAAAAACGCAAAUUAUAUUUUUGUGAAUCAUGCAUGAAUAGGUUCUACUAAAAAUAUGAUUCAGCUGUAAAAUUUUAUUCUGGACAUCAAAAUUAAAGAGCAAGCAUUGGAUUUUAUUGUUGAAACUUGUAGGUAGUUUAUUAGUUAGUGAAUCAAAUUGAAGCUAUGCAUGGUCAAAUUUCUUUUGUUAGCAAGCUUUGAAUACAUGCUUGUGUGGAUUGUGGAUGAUUAUGGAGGAAUUGGCGAUUGGAUGCAUGUGUUUCUUUUACAUAGAGCAUUGUACACAUUCUUUCUUUUGU